UUAAAAGAAUAUUGGCAGAGAAAGAGCCUUGGUGUUCCAGCAGGAGCUAAGAGGAACAGGAAAACAAAUGGCAGUAGCCCUGAAACAGCCACUUCUGGUGGUUGCCAGUCACCUGAGGAUUCAGCAACAGGUGUCCAUGGGGAGGGAUCUACAUCAUCUGCUCCCCUGAAGGAUCUGGAGAGCCCGUGCCAAGAACUAGCAGUCGUCCUGGACUCAAGGUCCGUAAAAAUCAGUAAACUGAAUAACACCAUCAAAUCUUUGAAACAACAGAAGAAACAAGUGGAACAUCAGCUGGAAGAAGUAACGUGAUUUCUUUGUUGCUCGACAUGACUGCUGGUUUGGGGGCACUCAGAUGUAGAAGCCCCAGUCUCGUCUCACCCACUCCCAGCCUGGCAAAGAAGGCUCACCCUUCAGAUUCCACCCCAUCCCCACAGGGUCCCUGAUAAACUGGUCCCAUGGGUGGGCCUGUCCUGGGGCAUUGGUGGCAUUCUGGGGGCAUGUCUCUUGCUGUGCCUUCUCUGCCUGCCCCUGGUAAGAGCUUUGUCUUCCUCUUCCUACAGGAAAAGAAGGCAAACAAUGAGAAACAGAAAGCCAAAAGGGAGCUAGAGGUUCAAAUCCAGAGAUUGAAUGUACAGAAAGAGAAACUAAAUACGGACCUGUAUCACAUGAAAUGUUCUCUCAGAUACUUUGAAGAAGAGUCCAAGCAUCUGGCUGGCUGCCUGCAAUAUACAUUGCAGUGUAAGGAGAGUUAGAACGGGCUCUCUGUGCUGUCGCCGCCACCAGAGAAGAAGGAUGGCAGUUCUCGAGCCUCAGUAAAGCACUUAUUGAGUGGCAUUUAGAGCAGUCCAUACAGGAGAAGGCACAGCUGAAAGCACACCUGACACAGUUGAAAGAGUCGCUUAAACAAGUCCAGCUAGAGACAGAUGAAUAUGCUCAACAUAUAAAAGGAGAGAGGGCCCGGUGGCAGCAGAGAAUGAGGAAAAUGUCACAGGAGGUUUGCACAUUGAAAAAGGAGAAGAAGCAUGAUACACAUCGGCUACAGGAGCUGGAGAGGAGCUUGUCCAAACUCAAAAACCAGAUGGUGGAACCCCUGUCCCUGGAGCCCCCAGCAGUGCCCUCUGAGGUGGAGCUGCAGCACCUGAGGAAGGAACUGGAGAGAGUGGCAGGAGAGCUCCAGGCCCAGAUUGAAAACAAUCAGCUCAUAAGUUUCCUGAAACAGGAGCAAAAGGAGAGGCUCCAGGAGCAGGAGGAGAGGCUUCAGCAGCUGGUCGAGCCACAGAGUGGCUUCAAGGAGCUGAACAACGAGAACAAGAGCACACUGCAGUUGGAGCAGCAAGUAAAGGAGCUGCAGGAGAAGCUGGAUGAGGUGAAGGAGGUAGAGUGCCUGGAAGCUGCCAGCCAGCAGAACCAGCAGCUACAGGCCCAGUUAAGCCCACGGCUCUCCCUGGGGAAGAACUCCUGGCCGCUGCCCAGAACCCUGCUGAUGAGCCUGGUCCAGGAGCCCCAGCCCCCCAGGAGCUUAGGGCUGCUGACAAGCAUGGUGAUCUUUGUGAGGUGAGCCUCACGGACAGCAUGGAGCCUGUGCAAGGAGAGGCCAGGGAGGGUGCUCCCCAUGACAACCCUACUGCACAGCCAAUCGUGCAGGAGUACCAUGAGCACCUAGGCUUGGGCAGCAACCCCUGUGUGGCAUUCUUUUGCUGGGCUUGGCUGCUAAGAAGAAGGAGAUAAAUAUCACCAUCAUCAAAGAGCUGGUCAACAAAUUUUUUAAAAAGAAACAAAGUUACGGGGUUAACUCCUACACAAUGCAUUUACUUCAUUUGAAUGUUAGAGCCACUCAUGAUUAUUUGUGUUUCUAAUUUAUAGUUUAAGUUUAUUUGUAAAAAGUUAAAAGACAGUGGGUCUCUGUGGCUUUCACUGAUGUUCACUCUGGCAUCCUUAGCAUUUUUCUUUUUUAAUUUCAUAAUUGUAGGUCAUUAGCAUUCAUAUCGAGUUUGCCCUUAUGUGGUAGGAGUUCAAACACACAAAGACCCACUAUUUGCCCAAAACUAUUCUUGUUGGUUUGGAAUAGGCUACCAUGCUUUUUAAAUGUUAUUGCAGCAUGUAUAUUCAUUACAGAAUUCAGAUAAAAUUUGCUUAUGUUCUGCUAUUUUUUGAUCUAAUCUUAAUCACAGUGAGCUCUUCAUUAGCUCAAUAUGUGGUUUGCCCCCAAGUGUGCACUGUUUAUUACUUUGUAAUAUGCCACUAUGAGUACUGACAUUUAGAGUUGUUUAAAGGCUGAGAAAUGGAAACCGCCUGUUCCCCAUUUUCUGUGUACUGUGACGGGAGUAAUAAUAUAUUGGAGGAGCUUUUUAAAUCUCACAGAAGAGGAAAGUGGCCUGCUCUGGCAGGUAUAUGCAGUACACAGUGUUUCAUUUGUUCCAGUGCCAAGAAUUAGCGCUGUACUAUGGUAGUUACCUUAGGAUUUGUAUGUGCUCUGGGCUCAUGAAGAUAUGGCAUCAUGAGCUGCAGCAGUUGUACUCUUUUUCAAUGACCUAAAAAGGGAUUAUUUCUGAGGAAUGAAAGGCUCCCGUCAUUGACUGUGGAUGUGGAAAACCUUUCCUAGCUUAGAGCAUUUGUAUCUAUAAUACAUUUUAAAGUGAGAGUUCAUGUUACCUGUUUUAAUCACAUGACUUCCUGUCCCAGUACACAAAAGGGCACUGGUUGGCAUUCUUCUUAAUGUAUUUAGUAAAGAUCAGAAGAAAUCCUUUAUGAGUUUAAAUGUCCCUGGAAGAGGCAUACAGGCUCUAGUCAAGAAUGAAUUAGGGUGAAGGAAAGCCAUGUGACACCUGGAAUUCCUCUCUGUUCACGGAGCUUCUUUGAGGCUUGAAGAUUGAUUUUACCAUCUAGACCUCUCUGGCUAAUACCUAUUCUUCAACCACCUUAGUUACUCUGACACAGGAAUUUACUUCUUUUCCUUGAAUGGAAAACACUUUAAAAAAUAAUAACAAGCAUUAUUACAAACUAAUAUAUGUGAGAGUACUUAGUUGAAACAAAAAGGAGUUUUAGUAGACAGUAUUACACUAUCUUUGAAAAUCAAGGAGAAGUUUAUGCAACUUAAAAUGUUUACAAACUGCAGUACAAUCUACUGUUUGUGAAUGUCAAUGUAUUAUCAGGAAACAUGUCUAUACAAUCACAGAGUUAUAUUUCCUCACAAAUUUCUUUACAAAGAGUGAAAUAUGUUUUUGUACCUCUCGGUUUCAGUUAGGGACAUAUUUUUUGAAUAUUUAUGUGAUUGUGCCUAUGCAUGAUGAAUGAAUGAAUUUCAGUGAUACAUUGCCUAAAUCAUAACUUAAUGAUGCUUGGGAAAGAAUCAACAGUUAAAACUUCAUGAAGAUCUAAUGUCUGUGUUCCAAAACACAUCACAUUAUUAGGAUGUAGGGAGAUGUGUAUGUGUGCUCCCUGGGGUGGGGAUCUCUAGUUACUAAACCAUCUCCAUUUUUAGCAUUUGGCAUCCUCAUGAUACUUUUAUAAAUAUGACAUUAACAGGAGAGCAACAAUAUGAUUUUACUGAUGGAAUAACAUAUUUGCCUGCAUUCAACAGAGUGCAAAUAUUGGGUCCUUGUGACCUCAACUGACUCUUCCAAAUUGUAUGAAUGUAUUAAUGUAUUAGAUAAAACCAGUUUCAGAAUGAUAAAGAAAAAAUGUUAGACCAAAUAAUGCGGCUAAUUAACAGUGGUACAAUUUCUAGCCUGUGGGUUUAAAAUGAACUUAAAGUCCUAUUCUUGCCUUUUAUUUUCUGAACUUGCCACUUUCGCAUUCUUUGAGUUUGGUUUAAAGACAGUUACUAGCAUCUGUAACCAAUCUGACAAUAAUGUGUGCAUCAGGUGCCUAUGGAUUAAAUCACACAUUGGCACACUUAAGCUGAAUGUCAGUCUGGAAAAUAAAUUUACUAUAUUAACUGAAACACCACUCUUUGUGUAGGUAUUUGUCAUAUAUUUAAGAAAAAUCUAAAAAGAAUGGAAAUUGUAUGACAAUAACUUAAGUCUUUCUUCAAAGUGCAUGCAGUCUUUUGCGAUACUUCAUUCAGCCAAGUAUUUGUGCUUUUCCUCAUUCAGUACAAGGCAGCUUUCAAUUUGCUUAGAAGGCAACAUUGGAAGGUUAGAGUUAAUCAAAAACAUAGAAUUUUAAAAUGUGAGUUCAACUGAAUAAAUUUGAAUUUCUGUAGGAAGAAUCAAAACACCUAAAGAUUGAAAUAUAUAAUAAUCAUUUUAAAAGUAUUUGAUUAAACCUGAUAGGUUUUCCAGAAAUGAAAAAAAAUCAGCUCUAAAAUCAAAGCUGAUUUUUAGAAAAUUUGAAAAUGUAAAUCAGCCCCAUCCAUAAUAUAGUUUCUCAAAAACUUUAUCUUAAAGAGUCAUUUUUAAAUAAUAUAAUUAUUAAAAAAUAUAACUGCUAUCUUAAUGUUCUGAAAUAAGUUAAAACAUUUAAAAAUAUGAAUACUGUAGUUUAAAAGAAAGAAAUGGUGGGAAGGAAAAGUAGACAAAGAAAUGCCAAUUCCAGUCCAAAGCUUUAUUUGCCAAGUUUUCUUAGAAUGAAUUUUACCAAUUUAUGAAUUCUUAUAAACAUAAUGUAUAAUGGAAAUACUGAAACACUUUUGCCUAAAGUGGCAUUAUUGACUGCUGGCGUGAUGCUACUGUAAUGCAAUAAAUUAUUAAAUUGUUGCAAAGUGC
This 4706-nucleotide small RNA is filed under the name Pongo abelii (Sumatran orangutan). RNAcentral describes it as "retained intron". The record is from RNAcentral. Lineage: Eukaryota; Metazoa; Chordata; Mammalia; Primates; Hominidae.